This 446-nucleotide ribosomal RNA is filed under the name Leptopelis ragazzii (Shoa forest treefrog). RNAcentral's name for it is "partial large subunit ribosomal RNA". It matches the Rfam family "Bacterial large subunit ribosomal RNA", at positions 1920 to 2534 of the family's 2925-position model. Lineage: Eukaryota; Metazoa; Chordata; Amphibia; Anura; Arthroleptidae. The record is from RNAcentral.
CAGUUUAACGGCCGCGGUACCCUAACCGUGCGAAGGUAGCAUAAUCACUUGUUUCUUAAAUAGAGACUAGUAUCAACGGCAUCACGAAGACUAUACUGUCUCCCCCCUAAAAUCAAUGAAACUGAUCUCCUCGUGAAGAAGCGAGGAUAUACAUAUAAGACGAGAAGACCCCAUGGAGCUUUAAACGAACUUCAAUUGUUCCCACCCAUAACAUACAAAUUGAACACCCCUGAUAGAUAGUUUUAGGUUGGGGUGACCGCGGAGUAAAACAAAACCUCCACAGUGAAUGUAAUAAAAUUCUUAUAAAAGAACUACAAUUCUAAUAAUCAAAAAUUUGACAUAAAUUGACCCAAACACUUGAUCAAUGAACCAAGUUACCCUGGGGAUAACAGCGCAAUCCAUUUUAAGAGCCCAUAUCGACAAAUGGGUUUACGACCUCGAUGUUG